CGGGUGAGCAAUGUCUGGGAAACUGCCUGAUGGAGGGGGAUAACUACUGGAAACGGUAGCUAAUACCGCAUAACGUCGCAAGACCAAAGAGGGGGACCUUCGGGCCUCUUGCCAUCGGAUGUGCCCAGAUGGGAUUAGCUAGUAGGUGGGGUAACGGCUCACCUAGGCGACGAUCCCUAGCUGGUCUGAGAGGAUGACCAGCCACACUGGAACUGAGACACGGUCCAG
RNAcentral lists this ribosomal RNA (228 nucleotides) under uncultured bacterium. RNAcentral describes it as "partial 16S ribosomal RNA". It matches the Rfam family "Bacterial small subunit ribosomal RNA", at positions 103 to 334 of the family's 1533-position model. The record is from RNAcentral.